This 408-nucleotide ribosomal RNA is filed under the name Triticum aestivum (bread wheat). RNAcentral's name for it is "partial small subunit ribosomal RNA". The record is from RNAcentral. Lineage: Eukaryota; Viridiplantae; Streptophyta; Magnoliopsida; Poales; Poaceae.
AUGGCCGGAGCCGUCCCCGACCCGCGAGGAUAUGCUCUAGAGCUUCGUCGGCCUCGUCUGCAUCUCCUACAACCUCCGGUUCGAGCUGAAGCCCUCCACAACCUCGCCAUCUGGUCGUCUUCCCCGCCACGGCCACGGCGCCAUCACCGUCGAUCUCCACCACCGGCGCCUCCCCGCGGUUCCGAGCACAUCCACGACCUCCAUCACAACCCCGAGACCGAUGCUGCCCCUGUGAUCGACUACGUCGACGACGACCCCUCCUUGCCAGAGCAACCAGCGAUGCGUGUCUCCAUACCCGGGCAUACCUUCUUCAAUUUUAGUGGAACUGCACAAAAUUGGAUGGCCAUUGUUGUUCCACCUCACUGUCCUCUGCCACGUGGUUCUUCCUUCCUCGAGCUUGAUUACUGA